RNAcentral lists this non-coding RNA (547 nucleotides) under Pongo abelii (Sumatran orangutan). Lineage: Eukaryota; Metazoa; Chordata; Mammalia; Primates; Hominidae. The record is from RNAcentral.
GAACACAAAAUGGCGACACGUGGUUAGCAUUCGUCGCCAACGAGAAAUUGGGGUCGGCCCGAAAGCUCUAGAAUGCACCCCUAUUCCUCCCCGGGGCCAUUCCCGCUCAACGAGUUUUAUGACCUAAAAAACCCCACAGGCUGGUCUGAAGAGGAAGACACUUAAAGAUGAAGUGCUUAAUUCAAGGUCACAGAAUGUCGGGGAUGGACCUCCAGAUUUCCUUACUGGUGAGACGUGGUCUUGUAACACAGUGGUUAAGAAUGUGACUUUGGAGCCAGCCUGCUAGGGGCUGAAUUCUGACUCAGCCAUUUAUUAACUGUGUGACCUUAGGUCAUAGAAUUUUCCACACUCCUUGACGGAGGUUCUUAACCCUUAUCCAUCAGCAUUCUCAGACAGCACCUCCGGUUAGGGACAGUAUCUGACCGUCCGACAUCCCUGCAGCCCCCAUGCUGUCACACAGACUCAGCCUCAGGUAGAUGGUUUCCGUAGAUGGUGGCUUUCUUUGGACCCUUGAUAUCAACCAGUUACUAUUUGGGGACCAGAUGUG